UGUUUUCUUCUAGUAUUUUCUCUUCUUGCUGUAGUUGCUUCUGGGUUGUACAGAAACCUGCCUAUUGUGCCUUUUGAUGAAGGGUAUAGUCAUUUGUUUGGGCAUGAUAAUCUUGUUGUUCAUAGAGAUGGAAAAUCUGUUCAUUUAUCUCUAGAUGAAAGAACAGGUCUGUGUUUCUUCUUCUUAUUCUUUUUUUUUUUCCGUUUUUGUGUACUUAAUUUUUGUUCCUGUUAGGGUUUCUGAGUAUGACUUUUAUUGUGUGUAUACAGGGUCUGGAUUUGUGUCACAUGACCUCUAUCUUCAUGGUUUCUUCAGUGCUUCAAUAAAGUUGCCUGCUGAUUAUACUGCCGGCGUUGUUGUUGCCUUCUAUGUAAGUCAUCUUUCCAACAGUUAUUUUUUUCCUGAAAAAAAAGGUUUUUUUUUUCCCUCGUUGUAAGGUUAGCUUUGAAGUUUAAUCCGAUUCUAUUAGUCUGACCCAUAUGAACCAAGCUUAAAAAUCUGAUUAGACCAUUGAUAUUUGAAUGGUCCGUUUCAGAAAUUUUGUUUUUCAUUUUUGAUCAUAUUGGGUAAUUAAAAGCUGAAAAAAGAAAAUAUUAAAACGACACCCAGAUGGAUUUUUUCUUCUAUUUUUAAAUUUGCAAGUUCACGUGCUUGUGUAUCGAUGAAGAGCUGGGAAUUUUCACUUUUGGUUUGCAGAUGUCAAAUGGUGACAUGUUUGAGAAGAAUCAUGAUGAAAUAGACUUUGAGUUCUUGGGUAAUAUUAGAGGCAAAAAUUGGA
RNAcentral lists this long non-coding RNA (778 nucleotides) under Citrus sinensis (sweet orange). Its description in RNAcentral is "long non-coding RNA (CSIN_LNC000733)". Lineage: Eukaryota; Viridiplantae; Streptophyta; Magnoliopsida; Sapindales; Rutaceae. The record is from RNAcentral.